Molecule: ribosomal RNA, 466 nt
Filed under: Peribacillus simplex
Lineage: Bacteria; Bacillati; Bacillota; Bacilli; Caryophanales; Bacillaceae
Description: bacterial SSU rRNA
Rfam family: Bacterial small subunit ribosomal RNA
Source: RNAcentral
UUACGGCGGACGGGUGAGUACACGUGGGCAACCUGCCUAUAAGACUGGGAUAACUUCGGGAAACCGGAGCUAAUACCGGAUACGUUCUUUUCUCGCAUGAGAGAAGAUGGAAAGACGGUUUACGCUGUCACUUAUAGAUGGGCCCGCGGCGCAUUAGCUAGUUGGUGAGGUAAUGGCUCACCAAGGCGACGAUGCGUAGCCGACCUGAGAGGGUGAUCGGCCACACUGGGACUGAGACACGGCCCAGACUCCUACGGGAGGCAGCAGUAGGGAAUCUUCCGCAAUGGACGAAAGUCUGACGGAGCAACGCCGCGUGAACGAAGAAGGCCUUCGGGUCGUAAAGUUCUGUUGUUAGGGAAGAACAAGUACCAGAGUAACUGCUGGUACCUUGACGGUACCUAACCAGAAAGCCACGGCUAACUACGUGCCAGCAGCCGCGGUAAUACGUAGGUGGCAAGCGUUGUCC